Molecule: ribosomal RNA, 388 nt
Filed under: uncultured bacterium
Lineage: Bacteria
Description: bacterial SSU rRNA
Rfam family: Bacterial small subunit ribosomal RNA
Source: RNAcentral
AUUGAACGCUGGCGGCAUGCCUUACACAUGCAAGUCGAACGGCAGCACGGCAGUAGCAAUACUGUGGGUGGCGAGUGGCGGACGGGUGAGGAAUACAUCGGAAUCUGCCUAGUCGUGGGGGAUAACGUAGGGAAACUUACGCUAAUACCGCAUACGACCUACGGGUGAAAGCGGGGGAUCGCAAGACCUCGCGCGAUUAGAUGAGCCGAUGUCCGAUUAGCUAGUUGGCGGGGUAAUGGCCCACCAAGGCGACGAUCGGUAGCUGGUCUGAGAGGAUGAUCAGCCACACUGGAACUGAGACACGGUCCAGACUCCUACGGGAGGCAGCAGUGGGGAAUAUUGGACAAUGGGCGCAAGCCUGAUCCAGCAAUGCCGCGUGCAGGAAGAA